Molecule: ribosomal RNA, 556 nt
Filed under: Limnonectes bagoensis
Lineage: Eukaryota; Metazoa; Chordata; Amphibia; Anura; Dicroglossidae
Description: Limnonectes sp. be GK-2021 partial large subunit ribosomal RNA
Rfam family: Bacterial large subunit ribosomal RNA
Source: RNAcentral
AAACAUCGCCUCUUGAAUCUCAUAAGAGGUCCAGCCUGCCCAGUGACACAAUUAAACGGCCGCGGUACCCUGACCGUGCGAAGGUAGCAUAAUCACUUGUUCUCUAAAUAAGGACUUGUAUCAACGGCAUCACGAGGGUUAUACUGUCUCCUCUUUUUAAUCAGUGAAACUGACUUUCCCGUGAAGAGGCGGGAAUAGUAAUACAAGACGAGAAGACCCCAUGGAGCUUUAAACCCAGUAGUAACCUCUAUUUACUACUACUACUUAAUUAAGAAGGUCUGUCUACUGGUUUUAGGUUGGGGUGACCCUGGAGUAAAACUUAGCCUCCAUGACGAAUAGAACUUAUUCUAAUCCCAGAGCUACCGCUCUACGAAUCAAAAUUUUGACGUAAACUGAUCCGCCUAGCGAUCAACGAACCAAGUUACCCUGGGGAUAACAGCGCAAUCCAUUUCAAGAGCCCCUAUCGACAAAUGGGUUUACGACCUCGAUGUUGGAUCAGGGUAUCCCAGUGGUGCAGCCGCUACUAAAGGUUUGUUUGUUCAACAAUUAAAACCCU